GGUCGCAUUAACCCUCUCCCUGCUGCUGUUAUAGGAUUGCGUUAACCCUCUCCCUGCUGCUGUUAUAGGAUUGUGUUAACCCUCUCCCUGCUGAUGUUGUAGGAUUGCGUUAACCCUCUCCCUGCUGAUGUUGUAGGAUUGCGUUAACCCUCUCCCUGCUGCUGUUAUAGGAUCGUGUUAACCCUCUCCCUGCUGAUGUUGUAGGAUCGUGUUAACCCUCUCCCUGCUGCUGUUGUAGGAUCGCGUUAACCCUCUCCCUGCUGCUGUGCAGUUUGUUUCAGUAGCUCACACUGUAUUACUCUGGAUCUGGAGCGACAGCUAUGCAGUGCAGAGGGUUUUAUGUACAAAUUCACAAGAGAGACUCCGGACCGUGUGUUUACCAUUAACAUUCCCAGGGAGUUUCUUUUGCUGGAUGAUGUGAAAUCUCACUGUCCGUGGCCUUGGAGUAAUCAGCUGUUACGUGGCAGCUCGUGGCUAACCUUACCAAACCGAGCACAGCCAUUCUUAUAUUCCAAGUCUGAGAAUAAAGGGUUCAAUCAUUCUUUCUAAACCCUCCAUUUCACAGCUACUGCACCUCCAUCCUGCCCUGCAGCUCUCUCUGCUAUUCCUGUACUGACCCCACACACAGCUCUGUCACUGCACCUCCAUCCUGCCCUGCAGCUCUCUCUGCUAUUCCUGUACUGACCCCACACAGCUCUCUCUCUGCUAUUCCUGUACUGACCCCACACACAGCUCUGUCACUGCACCUCCAUCCUGCCCUGCAGCUCUCUCUGCUAUUCCUGUACUGACCCCACACACAGCUCUGUCACUACACCUCCAUCCUGCCCUGCAGCUCUCUCUGCUAUUCCUGUACUGACCCCUCACACAGCUCUGUCACUGCACCUCCAUCCUGCCCUGCAGCUCUCUCUGCUAUUCCUGUACUGACCCCACACACAGCUCUGUCACUGCACCUCCAUCCUGCCCUGCAGCUCUCUCUGCUAUUCCUGUACUGACCCCACACACAGCUCUGUCACUACACCUCCAUCCUGCCCUGCAGCUCUCUCUGCUAUUCCUGUA
Molecule: long non-coding RNA, 1056 nt
Organism: Pelobates fuscus (common spadefoot toad)
Lineage: Eukaryota; Metazoa; Chordata; Amphibia; Anura; Pelobatidae
Exons: 2
Source: RefSeq, a predicted model, not a curated record